GCGGAUGUAGCUCAGUGGUAGAGCGUCCGCUUCGCAUGCGGAAGGCCCGGGGUUCGAUCCCCCGCAUCCGCA
RNAcentral lists this transfer RNA (72 nucleotides) under Nematostella vectensis (starlet sea anemone). It matches the Rfam family "tRNA". Rfam says of the family: Transfer RNA (tRNA) molecules are approximately 80 nucleotides in length. The record is from Rfam by way of RNAcentral. Lineage: Eukaryota; Metazoa; Cnidaria; Anthozoa; Actiniaria; Edwardsiidae.